This 484-nucleotide ribosomal RNA is filed under the name uncultured bacterium. RNAcentral's name for it is "partial 16S ribosomal RNA". It matches the Rfam family "Bacterial small subunit ribosomal RNA", at positions 30 to 507 of the family's 1533-position model. The record is from RNAcentral.
AUUGAACGCUGGCGGCAGGCCUAACACAUGCAAGUCGAGCGGAUGAAGGGAGCUUGCUCCUGGAUUCAGCGGCGGACGGGUGAGUAAUGCCUAGGAAUCUGCCUGGUAUUGGGGGAUAACGUCCGGAAACGGGCGCUAAUACCGCAUACGUCCUGAGGUAGAAAGUGGGGGAUCUUCGGACCUCACGCUAUCAGAUGAGCCUAGGUCGGAUUAGCUAGUUGGUGGGGUAAAGGCCUACCAAGGCGACGAUCCGUAACUGGUCUGAGAGGAUGAUCAGUCACACUGGAACUGAGACACGGUCCAGACUCCUACGGGAGGCAGCAGUGGGGAAUAUUGGACAAUGGGCGAAAGCCUGAUCCAGCCAUGCCGCGUGUGUGAAGAAGGUCUUCGGAUUGUAAAGCACUUUAAGUUGGGAGGAAGGGCAGUAAGUUAAUACCUUGCUGUUUUGACGUUACCAACAGAAUAAGCACCGGCUAACUUCGUG